GAUGAACGCUGGCGGCGUGCCUAAUACAUGCAAGUCGAGCGAACAGACGAGAGUGCUUGCUCUCUCUGACGUUAGCCGCGGACGGGUGAGUCACACGUGGGUCACCUACCUAUAAGACUGGGAUAUCUUCGGGAAACCGGAGCUAAUACCGGAUAAUAUUUAGCUUCGCAUGUAGCAAUAGUGAAAGACGGUUCUGCUGUCACUUAUAGAUGGACCCGCGGUGUAUUAGCUAGUUGGUGAGGUAACGGCUCACCAAGGCAACGAUACAUAGCCGACCUGAGAGGGUGAUCGGCCACACUGGAACUGAGACACGGACCAGACUCCUACGGGAGGCAGCAGUAGGGAAUCUUCCGCAAUGGACGAAAGUCUGACGGAGCAAUGCCGCGUGAGUGAAGAAGGUUUUCGGAUCGUAAAACUCUGUUGUAAGGGAAGAACAAGUAUGUAAGUAACUGAACGUACCUUGACGGUACCUUACCAGAAAGCCACGGCUAACUACGUG
This 499-nucleotide ribosomal RNA is filed under the name uncultured bacterium. RNAcentral's name for it is "partial 16S ribosomal RNA". It matches the Rfam family "Bacterial small subunit ribosomal RNA", at positions 28 to 507 of the family's 1533-position model. The record is from RNAcentral.